UACGGGGGGGGCAAGCGUUGUUCGGAAUUACUGGGCGUAAAGGGCUCGUAGGCGGCCAACUAAGUCGGACGUGAAAUCCCUCGGCUUAACCGGGGAACUGCGUCCGAUACUGGAUGGCUUGAGUUUGGGAGAGGGAUGCGGAAUUCCAGGUGUAGCGGUGAAAUGCGUAGAUAUCUGGAGGAACACCGGUGGCGAAGGCGGCAUCCUGGACCAACACUGACGCUGAGGAGCGAAAGCCAGGGGAGCAAACGGGG
This 254-nucleotide ribosomal RNA is filed under the name uncultured bacterium. RNAcentral's name for it is "partial 16S ribosomal RNA". It matches the Rfam family "Bacterial small subunit ribosomal RNA", at positions 524 to 777 of the family's 1533-position model. The record is from RNAcentral.